GAAUAGCUCAAUCGGUAGAGCAGUUGACUCUUAAUCAAUUGGUUCAGGGUUCGAGUCCCUGUU
Molecule: transfer RNA, 63 nt
Filed under: human gut metagenome
Rfam family: tRNA
About the family: Transfer RNA (tRNA) molecules are approximately 80 nucleotides in length. Their secondary structure includes four short double-helical elements and three loops (D, anti-codon, and T loops). Further hydrogen bonds mediate the characteristic L-shaped molecular structure. tRNAs have two regions of fundamental functional importance: the anti-codon, which is responsible for specific mRNA codon recognition, and the 3' end, to which the tRNAs corresponding amino acid is attached (by aminoacyl-tRNA synthetases). tRNAs cope with the degeneracy of the genetic code in two manners: having more than one tRNA (with a specific anti-codon) for a particular amino acid; and 'wobble' base-pairing, i.e. permitting non-standard base-pairing at the 3rd anti-codon position.
Source: RNAcentral